Protopterus annectens (West African lungfish) is the source of this 931-nucleotide long non-coding RNA. RefSeq lists it as uncharacterized. The transcript has 3 exons. Lineage: Eukaryota; Metazoa; Chordata; Ceratodontiformes; Protopteridae. The record is from RefSeq and is a predicted model, not a curated record.
GCUGGUGCCUCCGUACCUGCAAUGCUGCAGAAAAGAGAGAGUCUCUCCCUCUCUGCAUUAUGACAAAUCAAGGCGAGCAGCUGUGCUGUUAGCACAUCAAAGAAACCAAAUGGAGACAAGAAGAAGGCAGAGGGAGGGUGAGAAUGAGAGGAAUACAGGCUGAGGGUCUAAAUAGACUGCAGAAGGAAGAACAUGUCAAAAUAAAAGUCUCUAGUCCUUUCAUUUCAAACUGUUCAGAGAACAGUGAAGUCAAAUUUAACUCAAGAGAAUCUGCCUAACUUGACUCAGAAGUUAAAGACUGUAGACGCAAAAGGAUAAAUGUUUACUAGCGUUAUGCAUGUAUACUGAAAGUUUGCCCAAGAAUAUAGCUUUGGAUUUUACAGACUACAUGCAGCAUCAACAUUCCUGAUAUCCUUCUAGAUGAGCAGAAAUAAACAGCCUUUGCAAAGUAACCUGCCAACCAAGGAAUGACGCUGAAUCAAGUACCUAACAUUGUACGCUCAGUAAAAUCAUUCACAACAACCCCCCCCAAAACAGCAUUCAGAACAGAGCAAACAAGAAACCAAAUGCCAUCCAGAACAUUGCUUGUUAAUUGGAUGCCACAAACAUUUCUGAGGAAAGGAAGUCUGGUUUCCCUUUUUCCAUGAGCAGUCUGAAAACCCAGUAGAUAGCAGAGCUAGUAGAGACACAUCAAGAAAGAAAAAUCUCCUUGGACAGGUGAGCUACAAGUAACUAGCUGUGGAGUGAACCAACUCGACAGGCAAACAGUGCUUUAUAGCUGAUGAAUAUAGACAGGCUGGUAUCAAAGAAUGCUGUGUUUAUGUCAACAGUAAACCUUCAGGAAAUCAUUAAAUUUUAAAUGCCAGAAAGUACCCAAACCUCUCCUGAGUCCUCCUUCUAAGCAACUGUCUUGAACAUGAAAAGUUUUUGU